Molecule: unclassified non-coding RNA, 674 nt
Filed under: Hevea brasiliensis (rubber tree)
Lineage: Eukaryota; Viridiplantae; Streptophyta; Magnoliopsida; Malpighiales; Euphorbiaceae
Source: RNAcentral
UAAAAAAAAAAAAAAAAAACCCUUCAAGCCUCAACUAAUAAAAGUGUGAAACCAAAUUGUACUUUUUUGUACUUCUCCUAGCUUUGAAUGGGGUAGGGUUUAUCUGUUUCCAUUGACCAAAGAAUUCUUUUCUUGUCUUCAUCACGAUCUGCGCCGUGAAUAACUAAAUUUACUGAGCAUGCAUCUGGUAAUAAUUGGUCGUCCUUGUAUCCAGGGGAGAGAUCGUGCAGCAGCAGUGGCUGCAUUGUCUUAACUUUUUUUUUUAAAUAUCAGAGAAAAAAAAGAGAAAUGCCUCACAAAAGCAUAUGUUAGAGAUAGUAUUCAUGAGGCUUAUCUCACUUGGUUAUAAUAAACUUAUCUUUUGGCUAUUUUAGAUCAAUGACCUUUAUCUCUUCCCAAAAGGAAAAAUUGAUGUACCAUCUACUUAGGCAUACAUAAUACUUCUUUUCUUGGUGGGACAAGCAGAGACGAACAAUAUUGACUCAUUGUGACCUGAGGCUUUUGACACUGAAGUCAUAAUUUGGCUCCGACUUCACCAACUACACCUUACUUUGUCCUCCUAUGAAUAAUAUACUAUUAUCAAAUCGAACUGAAGAACCAUACGGAACUGAUAGGAAUCGUACCAAAUCGGAACCGAAACGAGAACUAAAUUUAUACAUAUGUUUUUCUUUUUU